RNAcentral lists this ribosomal RNA (460 nucleotides) under uncultured bacterium. RNAcentral describes it as "partial 16S ribosomal RNA". It matches the Rfam family "Bacterial small subunit ribosomal RNA", at positions 338 to 795 of the family's 1533-position model. The record is from RNAcentral.
CCUACGGGUGGCUGCAGUGAGGAAUAUUGGUCAAUGGGCGGGAGCCUGAACCAGCCAAGUCGCGUGAGGGAAGACGGUCCUAUGGAUUGUAAACCUCUUUAGGCGGGGAGCAAGGCCGGGCACGCGUGCCCGGAGGGAGAGGACCCGCAGAAGAAGCAGCGGCUAACUCCGUGCCAGCAGCUGCGGUAAUACGGGGGAUGCGAGGGUGAGCCGGAUUUAUUGGGUGUAAGGGGUGCGUAGGGGGAUUGUUAAGUCAGCGGUAAAAUGUCCGGGCUCAACCCGGGCCGGCCGUUGAAACUGGGGAUCUUGAGUGGGCGAGAAGUAUGCGGAAUGCGUGGUGUAGCGGUGAAAUGCAUAGAUAUCACGCAGAACUCCGAUUGCGAAGGCAGCAUACCGGCGCCCGACUGACGCUGAAGCACGAAAGCGUGGGGAUCGAACAGGAUUAGAUACCCGUGUAGUC